Molecule: long non-coding RNA, 468 nt
Filed under: Capra hircus (goat)
Lineage: Eukaryota; Metazoa; Chordata; Mammalia; Artiodactyla; Bovidae
Description: lncRNA (ENSCHIG00010008222.1)
Source: RNAcentral
AUGACUCAGGUUACAUUUCACAUAGAGAGCAGGACAGGAGGGUUGAAAUCUCCAGACACAGAGUGGGAAAUUCUUCAAGGGGCCAAGGGCACUAAACUUAGCAGCUUGCCCCCACCCUUUGCUGGUCCCAGCUUCUUGGAAAGGACAGGAGGAGGAAGAGGAGGCAUAGCUUUGCAUUGGGGUGGAGGGAUUAAGGGGAAGAGGAGCAGCAACCUGGCACCAAAGAACUUUGAUCUUCCCGCAUGUGCGCUCUUAUCUACCUCAUCCUUCCUCUGUCUCAUCUUCCUGGGAAAGCAACCCCCACCUCAGUUAUCCCCAAGGCACCGCAUUACCACCCAAAAGGGACUUCUCCCAGCUUCUCACUCUGAAUGUAACUAGCCCAGGUGAGACGACGACUCGGCCAAAAGGUUUUUGGGACCCAUUCCAAUCAAUGUCUGCUGAUAAGACAAGCAGGCUAGGACAGAAAAC